Molecule: ribosomal RNA, 432 nt
Filed under: uncultured bacterium
Lineage: Bacteria
Description: partial 16S ribosomal RNA
Rfam family: Bacterial small subunit ribosomal RNA
Source: RNAcentral
ACGAACGCUGGCGGCAUGCCUAACACAUGCAAGUCGAACGAGACCUUCGGGUCUAGUGGCGCACGGGUGCGUCACGCGUGGGAACCUGCCCUUAGGUUCGGAAUAACUCCCCGAGAGGGGUGCUAAUACCGGAUAAUGUCUUCGGACCAAAGAUUUAUCGCCUUUGGAUGGGCCCGCGUUGGAUUAGCUAGUUGGUAGGGUAAAAGCCUACCAAGGCGACGAUCCAUAGCUGGUCUGAGAGGAUGAUCAGCCACACUGGGACUGAGACACGGCCCAGACUCCUACGGGAGGCAGCAGUGGGGAAUAUUGGACAAUGGGCGAAAGCCUGAUCCAGCAAUGCCGCGUGAGUGAUGAAGGCCUUAGGGUUGUAAAGCUCUUUUACCCGGGAUGAUAAUGACAGUACCGGGAGAAUAAGCUCCGGCUAACUCCGUG